This 253-nucleotide ribosomal RNA is filed under the name uncultured bacterium. Its description in RNAcentral is "partial 16S ribosomal RNA". It matches the Rfam family "Bacterial small subunit ribosomal RNA", at positions 524 to 776 of the family's 1533-position model. The record is from RNAcentral.
UACGUAGGCAGCGAGCGUUGUUCGGAGUUACUGGGCGUAAAGGGUGUGUAGGCGGUCCUCUAAGUUUGGUGUGAAAUCUCCCGGCUCAACCGGGAGGGUGCGCCGAAAACUGGGGGGCUAGAGUGCGGGAUGGGUAAGUGGAAUUCCUGGUGUAGCGGUGAAAUGCGUAGAUAUCGGAAGGAACAUCAGUGGCGAAAGCGACUUCCUGGACCAAUACUGACGCUCAUGUGCGAAAGCGUGGGGAGCAAACAGG